AAAAAAUUCUUUGCUUUGCGUCGCAUUUCGUUCGUUGUUAGUGUUUUUGCUGUAAUAAAUAAAUGAAAUCAUUAAGCAUGUCCGAACAGGAUCAAUUCUUAAGAUUUUGUUAAGCAGAAUAAAUUUACACACAUGCUUCAGGAUAAUGAAACGCACACACAGCAACAGCAGCAGCAGCAAAAUAAACAGGAAGAUGCUUUACAAGCAAUUAAUCCUAAUUAACACGGUGUGUGUAUGUUAUAAUUUCCUAACAUAUGUGUAUUUCUAAUGAUAGAGGACAAGGACCUUUAAAACACUUACGGAAAAAUAAGUUUUAAAAUAAAGAAAAUUUUGAUUGCCAACAAAGGUCAAUGCCAGUGUGAACAGUAGUAGUGGUAAGUGUUUUUUUUUUUCAUUUUAAAUUUCUCAAUUGCCUGUAAUGCAUUUUUAUGUUGUUUUUUCUAAAAGCGUGAUUAAAAGCAUCUGUUUAAUAUUUUCUAUUAAUUAAAAGCAAAGCAAAACACACACUUUAUCUUGAAAAUUGUGAGAAACAUACAU
Molecule: long non-coding RNA, 537 nt
Organism: Lucilia cuprina (Australian sheep blowfly)
Lineage: Eukaryota; Metazoa; Arthropoda; Insecta; Diptera; Calliphoridae
Exons: 3
Source: RefSeq, a predicted model, not a curated record